RNAcentral lists this ribosomal RNA (3288 nucleotides) under Triticum aestivum (bread wheat). Its description in RNAcentral is "partial small subunit ribosomal RNA". The record is from RNAcentral. Lineage: Eukaryota; Viridiplantae; Streptophyta; Magnoliopsida; Poales; Poaceae.
AUGGCGCCAUCUGCUGCCGCUGCACCCAGCAGCACCGAGGCUGACGGGGCACAGCGCAUGGCCAAGUUCCUCUGCAGCUUCGGAGGCAGCAUCCUGCCCCGCCCGCUCGACGGCCGUCUCCGCUACGUCGGGGGCGACACCAGGAUCGUCAUGCUGCCCCGUGACAUAUCCUACUCCGACCUGGCCGCGCGGAUGCGGGAGCUCUAUGACGAUGCCGAUAUCAUCAAGUACCAGCAGCCCGAUGAGGAUCUUGAUGCUCUGGUCUCGGUUGUAAAUGAUGAUGAUGUGGUCAACAUGAUGGAGGAAUAUGACAAGCUCAUUGCUGCUGGAGAGGGGUUCACUCGGCUCAGGGUCUUCUUAUUCUCCCAGCACCUGGAUGAUGAGGCUGCAUCAGCAGCUGUGCAUUACCAUGGGGACGAGCGGGAGACGGAGAGGAGGUAUGUUGAUGCGCUUAAUAGCCUUGGUGACAUGAGGUCGCCUUCAUCUCCUGUGUCAGUGGAGCAGCUUUUUGGCAUCGGAGGCAACGAGUCAGGAAUUCCUGAUAUUGCUGGCCUGCGGCAUUUGAAUGUUCCUCGUGCCUCACAUAAUCAGCGGUAUGCGGAGAUGGAUUCUCCUUGGAGCCCUGCAUAUAUCUCUCCGGGGCAGUAUGGAGUGCCCGAUCCAAGGGAUUUUCCCAUUUCACCAUCAUCUGCAAGGUUUCAAGUUGGAGCAGAGGACUUUGAUGAGAGGAUUCCUGAUGACUUUGUGAGGCAAUCACCAAAAUAUCGGCAUUACGAGGCUCAGUCACCGCCACAUGUGGAUAACUUGGUCUGGCUUCCACCUGGUGCUGUAAUUCAGCAAAAUGCUGGCUUCCCAGGGAAUUUGGGCCGCUCCAGCAAUUUCUUGGAUGGAAACAGUCUAUAUGACUCCCGUUCGUCAUUCCAGAAGGGUCAAGGUUCAGUGAGUGAUCCUCGUUAUAUGGAUCCCCGUUGGAGGCCAGUCCAACAACAUUUUGAUCAAUCGACCAUGGCAAGUGAGUAUUCUGCUCACCCCGCUAUUCCGCGUCCAGAUUAUGGUCGUCCUGGUGAGCAUUAUGUUGUAGGCCAAGAUGUUAGACUGGAAAAUGGUGUUUAUGUCAAAGAGCAAACUGGUGGUCACCCUCCCAUGUUCUACAACGAAUCACAUUCUCAUGAUAGGUCUUGGCAUGGGCAUCCCAACCAAAGCCAUCAACGGUAUGAGGAUCCAAGGUUGAAUCUGCCUGCUAAUGGUAGAGUGAUGGAUCCGUACGCUGAUAGCAACUCAGCUAAUUCUGCAUUUGCACCCAACAAAGUAUAUGAAAUGCAUUCAACAUCUCACAGCCGCUCAAGCCAUGAAAGUCCCCACUAUUAUCAUGGCAGUGGCCAGGGCGAGCAUAUGAAUGAUACAUAUCAUAACCAACAAGUUGUAAGUAGUGGCUCCUAUGUCCAGACAUCAGGUUUUGAAGAAUCGACAGGCCAGCAUUACAGCCAUACUUCAACAUAUGGUGGUGAUACCUUUUACCAAAUGCAGCAGAACUUGCCGCCACUUCAAUCGAUGAGAAGGAGAGCAAGCAGCCCUGUUCACACAGGCUCAUCAUAUGAAUCACCACACCUGCCGAUCCCAAAUGGGAGCAUCAACUCCAACUUUGUCAGAAACACAGGUGAUGUUAGUCCAAGGAUUCAUGGUAUGCCUGCAUAUGAUCGAGUCCCAAACCCAUGGCCUUCACCCAAUGGCAGCAUACCAUAUAGAAUCGUUGGACAUGAUGUUCCCACUGUUGUUGAAAACCCUUCUUCCCUUGGUUCUCGGUCAGGUCCAAACACUGCUCAGUAUGUUCAGCCUUUCUUUGCCCCAGAAUCAGUCCAGCAGCAACCAGGAGCUCCGUUGGUAGAAAUUUUUCCUGAAAGAGCAUCCGCUGGACCCAUGCUAGCACCGCUUGAUGGUAAAGUAUCUGUUGCUGCGGUACCCCUUGCUGAUCAUUUGUCCAGGUUGGACAUUAACACGACAAAGAAAUUUGAAGGAGCAGAUGAUGAAAGGCGCACUCAAAAUGUGACUGAAACAAAACCUUCACACGUUGCGAGUGACCCUAGCACCUUGGUUCACAAUGUUGGAGUUGAUCUCCAAUGGGGCAAACCUACAGAACAUGACGGUGGGGCUGUAGCAUUGCAGCAGUGUGGGGAUAUAUCGGAGAACAGAUUAAAUAUCCUUCCAGAGUUUGUUGCCUCUGUUAAAAAGGCCGCACUGGAAGAGUCUGAGAAGCCAGUAGAGGUUCAGCCAGAUGCUCGUCCAGCAAAUUUACCUGUUUGUGAUAAUGACAAUGAUGGAAAGAAGUUUGAUGAGAAUACUGAUGGAGAUCAGGACCCUGAUGUGCAUGGAAGCUGCGACCAGCACAAAAGUUCUGGGAUCGAAUCUACACCCGCUGAAGCUGAAGCUUUGUCUAAAGGAUUACAGACUAUAAGAAAUGAUGAUCUGGAGGAAAUCAGAGAGCUUGGUUCGGGUACUUAUGGGUCAGUCUUCCAUGGUAAAUGGAGGGGAUGUGAUGUUGCCAUCAAAAGAAUAAAAGCUAGUUGCUUUGACGGAAGGCCAUCCGAGAGAGAGCGCUUGAUAGCGGAUUUCUGGAAAGAAGCUCAGAUCCUGAGCUCGCUUCAUCAUCCAAAUGUAGUUUCAUUUUAUGGUGUUGUUCGUGAUGGUCCUGAUGGAAGCUUAGCAACUGUUACCGAGUUUAUGGUCAAUGGAUCUCUCAAACAAUUCCUGAGGAAGAAAGACAGGACAAUUGAUCGCCGCAAAAGGGUUAUAUUGGCCAUGGAUGCUGCAUUUGGCAUGGAAUAUUUGCAUGGGAAGAAUAUCGUCCAUUUUGAUCUCAAAUGUGAGAACCUACUGGUAAACAUGAGAGAUCCACAACGACCGAUCUGCAAGAUUGGUGAUCUUGGCCUAUCAAAGGUGAAGCAGCAUACUUUGGUGUCUGGUGGUGUUAGAGGAACCUUACCAUGGAUGGCACCCGAGCUUUUGAGUGGGAAAAGUGAUAUGGUGUCAGAGAAGAUUGAUGUCUACUCAUUUGGUAUUGUGAUGUGGGAGCUACUUACCGGGGACGACCCGUAUUCUGAUAUGCGUGCAGCCGAAAUUAUUGGGGGCAUCGUGAACAAUUCUCUUCGUCCUCAGAUCCCUUCCUGGUGCGAUCCUGAAUGGAAAUCAUUGAUGGAAGGUAGCUGGGCUGGUGAACCAGCUCAAAGGCCAUCCUUCACUGAAAUAUCUCAAAGGUUGCGGAAAAUGGCCGCAGCAAUGAAUGUUAAAUAA